Molecule: long non-coding RNA, 217 nt
Filed under: Mytilus galloprovincialis (Mediterranean mussel)
Lineage: Eukaryota; Metazoa; Mollusca; Bivalvia; Mytilida; Mytilidae
Source: RNAcentral
AAAAAUAUAUAUAGGUCAUCGUGUUUGUUUUCGAGAUAUUAGCCAUUGAAAUUUUGGCGGAAAAUAUUCUCUCUUGACUUUUCAUAGCUUUAUCAUUGACACGUUGAAGUUCUCAAAAACUGUUCAAAAGUAAUUAAAAUUUUAUAAGACUUUUACAGAUGGCUUAUCAUUAUACAUGUACAAGAUUUACAAAAACAAAAAUGGGGGUCAACGGGCA